CCAAUCAUACAGUCAAAUUCAUGUGUAUAAACAUCAAAGUUCAAAUUACACUAAACAAGUAAACUAAACAGCACAGAUCGACAGGCAUAACUUUCAGGAGCAAAUGAGAGAUCCAUUUUAUUGCAUGUCCACGUCAAAUCAGCACCAACACAAUCAGGAUAGGAAUGAGUACCUGGUUUUUUGAAUAACAACAGAGGAAGAGAAGGUCAGCAGCAAGUAAUGAGAGCUCACAACAGCCAGAACCAGUCCAAUUGUUCAGGGAGUUUUUAAAACCAAACAAAAUCCAAGCAACCAACCACAAAUUGUCACACCUCCUUUUUACACACCUACCCCGGAGGAUAAUGUAUAAGGGAGUUUUUUCAUUUAAAGUGACAUUAUUCGGAGCGGAAUUAUUUAUUUAUUUAGAGUCGCCACUUGGGAAAGGUUUGACUUUUGGUGUCCCAAGUCACCGGUUUAUCUUGAAUCCCGAACCGAGGAAAAUUGUCGACUUCCAAUUGGAGUCUGCGAACCAGAAAUUCUAAGCAAGGAAUUUUGUUGACCCGAGGGAAGGUGUUAGGCACCCCCGGAUCCCGUAGUUCUAGCACGGUCGCUUAAAUUGUUGUAAAUGGUUAAGAGUUCGAUUUUAAUACAUGUCAACUUUAUGUGCUUUUAUUAACUUUAAACCGCUUUUAUCACUAUUUUUUAAAAGAAUUGCAACGUCGUGAAAACGCGUCUCGAACCACAUCACAUCAAUGCACCCGUGGUUAUUGACACAUUUCGACAUCCGUUGAGAUUUGGAUUUGGGUCACAUAAAUGUGCACCCGAGUUUAGGAAUGUAAUUUGAUUAAAAUCGCGCUUAAAGAGUCUAACACGUUAUUGUCUUUGGGGAAGGCCGUGAAAUUCACUAAACGGCCUAUCCCGAAUUCUACUUAUCUAUUAUAACCAAUUACCGAGGGCCCCGCAAUUUCUUUAUUUUAUUAGGCGAGGCUCGUCUCAUGGCUUAUUUAAAGGUACACUCUAAAGUAAACUAUGAUUUUUCUAAAUUAUUUGUCUCUAAUAAAAUAAAAAUCCUAAUUAAUCAUUAUUAUUUAGGAGUUACUUCAUUUCCAAAUAAGGAUUAAAAUUAAGUCUAUGACUUCAUUGAAGCUUCAGCAUUUGGGCUUUAAUACCGGCCCUAUGCCAUUUUGCUUGUGAUUGCGUAGAGAGAAAAUAAACCCAGACAUGGGCCAUGUUCAACGGAAACAGGCCCAAACUUAUUGUAUUGGUGGCCUGCCCAGUUCAGCUUAUUACAUGAGCAGCUACUUUGUUUUUGUUUGUUUCAUUUCAAUUAACCAAUUGAAUCUACCUCAUGCAUUUUUAAUAGUGACAAUGUGAAGUAGAAUCCAUUGACAGAAACCAGAUAUACUAAAAGAGUUCUAACUAAACCUGUUUAUAGCUAAUUUCAUGAAGAUCAUAAGGCGACACUGAAUCCAAACCGGCUAAGAGAUUCACAUGCUCAUUUGUGACUUGUUUUUAGCUAAUACUCAAAUUAGCACAUAAGUAUUUAUUCAUAUUUACAGUAGAGCAUACUUCUAAAUUGAUUGCAAACUCAACCUCAUUCUGAUUCCAUAUGCUUACCCAGUAUUACCAUGAAAACCAAACAUUAGACCACGCUGUGUCCACGAAUAACAAACAUCAAUUAACAGCCCUAAGAGAUCUGAUUUGAGUACAAAUUUCAACAGUCCAUGGCAGGAGAAGUAAUCUUAAUCAGACAGUCCUAAUUGAUAUACACAUUAUAAAAUUUCACAUGAACACAAAUAUGAAACUGUAUGCAAACUGAAACAAAUAGACAACUGGCACUUCAAUUUCUUUUCAAUUGGCUAUAUUAAGCUUGAGAUCACAAACGUCAUUCAUAGUCGAGCCAAGUACCUGGGAAUUAGAAUGCAACAAGAAGAGGAGAAGUUAGCAGCAGCAGCAACGAUUGAGAAUUUCCAGCAACAACACAACAAUUUUAACCCAGAAAGCAGAGCAGUAGUCCAAAUAUCAAAUAGGACAGAGGGAUUGACCAAAACAGCACCACAGCAAACCAGUAAACUCAAAAGGCAUCCAGAAAUACUCAGCAAACACCAAACUCAAACAAAACCCAGUUUACUUAAACCAAAACUGCUCAAUACCAAACCAGCAUGAUCCAGAAACUCCAAUAAUCAAAAGAGAAGAAAAUCGAACAAAACUAAAUCAAAAACCAAUGUAAUAGUGCAUUUCUUUUUGCAAUUUUCUCAUAUUUUCUGUUUUUGUUUUUGUUUCUUUUUUGAGAUUUUGGAAAUUUGAAAUCUAAAAGAGAGUUUGAACUAUUAGAAAUCAGAUCUAGGUUGAAAUUUGAAUUCUGCUUAGACUUGUUGAGAGGGCCCUUUUGGGGGGAAAUUUUUGAGCUUCCAAACUUUUGGGAAUUUUCAGGGGUGUGUAAACUUGUAAAUGAAGGCAUUGGGGCUGCCUUUUAUAGGCAAUAAAAGGGCAGAAUGUUCUGGAAACUCUCAAACAUUUUCCCCCCUUUUUAUUUUCAGAAUUGGUGAUUAAUCCCUGAA
RNAcentral lists this long non-coding RNA (2540 nucleotides) under Nicotiana tabacum (common tobacco). RNAcentral's name for it is "long non-coding RNA (NTAB_LNC017724)". The record is from RNAcentral. Lineage: Eukaryota; Viridiplantae; Streptophyta; Magnoliopsida; Solanales; Solanaceae.